CGUACCAUCCAUCCCCUUUUUGAACAACUCUGGCCGUCAGUGAAGUGCAGAUUGUUUGUGACUGAUGUCAAUCGUGCCUUUCAUUCACUGGACCAGCCAAACAUUUCUUCCCCUCCUCCUGUUUUAGUCACCCCUUUGUCCAUCCAGAGUCCUUCUCCUCCUCGCCGCACUAAACAGUCUGCUCGUCCAUCUUCUUCUCUCCCUGCCAAGCCUACUGCAGC
RNAcentral lists this long non-coding RNA (221 nucleotides) under Olea europaea (common olive). RNAcentral describes it as "long non-coding RNA (OEUR_LNC006115)". Lineage: Eukaryota; Viridiplantae; Streptophyta; Magnoliopsida; Lamiales; Oleaceae. The record is from RNAcentral.